AGUGAACGCUGGCGGUAGGCCUAACACAUGCAAGUCGAACGGCAGCACAGUAAGAGCUUGCUCUUACGGGUGGCGAGUGGCGGACGGGUGAGGAAUACAUCGGAAUCUACUUUUUCGUGAGGGAUAACGUAGGGAAACUUACGCUAAUACCGCAUACGACCUACGGGUGAAAGCAGGGGAUCUUCGGACCUUGCGCGAUUGAAUGAGCCGAUGUCGGAUUAGCUAGUUGGCGGGGUAAAGGCCCACCAAGGCGACGAUCCGUAGCUGGUCUGAGAGGAUGAUCAGCCACACUGGAACUGAGACACGGUCCAGACUCCUACGGGAGGCAGCAGUGGGGAAUAUUGGACAAUGGGCGCAAGCCUGAUCCAGCCAUACCGCGUGGGUGAAGAAGGCCUUCGGGUUGUAAAGCCCUUUUGUUGGGAAAGAAAAGCAGCAGGUUAAUACCCCGCUGUUCUGACGGUACCCAAAGAAUAAGCUCCGGCUAACUUCGUG
Molecule: ribosomal RNA, 492 nt
Filed under: uncultured bacterium
Lineage: Bacteria
Description: partial 16S ribosomal RNA
Rfam family: Bacterial small subunit ribosomal RNA
Source: RNAcentral